This is a non-coding RNA of Gossypium raimondii (Peruvian cotton), 142 nucleotides long. The record is from Rfam. Lineage: Eukaryota; Viridiplantae; Streptophyta; Magnoliopsida; Malvales; Malvaceae.
UGUUAAAAUUUUGAUCCAUUUGUACUGUUAAAAACUGUUGUGGCUAACGAAAUAACCAUACAGUGACAUGUGUCGUGUCAUGUGUAUCUCAUGCUGAUGUACAGGGACCAAAUUUUAACCGUAGAAAUUGAUGAAAUUAAUA